UACGAAGGGGGCUAGCGUUGCUCGGAAUUACUGGGCGUAAAGCGCACGUAGGCGGCUUUCUAAGUCGGGGGUGAAAUCCUGGAGCUCAACUCCAGAACUGCCUUCGAUACUGGAAAGCUCGAGUCCGGGAGAGGAGAGUGGAACUCCUGGUGUAGCGGUGAAAUGCGCAGAUAUCAGGAAGAACACCAAUGGCGAAGGCAGCUCUCUGGGACGGUACUGACGCUGAGACGCGAAAGCGUGGGGAGCGAACAGG
This 253-nucleotide ribosomal RNA is filed under the name uncultured bacterium. Its description in RNAcentral is "partial 16S ribosomal RNA". It matches the Rfam family "Bacterial small subunit ribosomal RNA", at positions 524 to 776 of the family's 1533-position model. The record is from RNAcentral.